AGGAGGAGGAGGCCGUUGGCGAUUCGUGUCGCGUAGGAGGGGAGGGCGGGGGGGAGGCGACAGGGUAGGCGGCGUCUUUAGAGACUCUGGGGAGCUGCCAUUAACGCUGGCCUGGCCGCCUCCGCAUGCGGACAAGCGCGGCCACGUCGUCGCCACGGGAUGGCGGCUCCGGGGCUCUGACCCCCGCCCAGGGCGACAUGGGGAGCGGCGGCGCCAGGCGGCAUUUCUUCCCGCUCACCAGCUUGCAAAUCGGGGAUUUACAGUCAUAUCUUGCAGAGCUCACUAUAUUUUUGUGCCCCGAUACCAAGAAGUUCCUUAUAUUCCUUGACAACCGUCCAUGGUUGCUAGAUCAGAAUACAAAACCUGCUCACCUGUGGCAAUUGAUGGUUACCAAGUCAAGAUUUUCUCCUUUCGCGAACACUAGAACUAGGAGAAAGAGAGAUGAAGGUGGACAUAAGCUUGUAUUUUCAGAAUUCCCAACAUCUGCUCCACGUGUGUGGAAUCAAUCAUCCAGAUGGUAUACUCUGAUUGAUGAUACCAUGCGGAAAAAGAAGCUUCAAGUAAAUAAAUUGAAGGAUUCUCGCCUGCUGAAUAGGGAGCUGCAUCGGACAUUAUAUGGUUUUAUUAUUUUUGAGGUAGACUGGGCUGAUGUGCGUGGCAUUAAUUAUUUGAAUGAGCUUCAGACUGAUACAUCAAUGGUGGUCGAAGCUAAAAUAAUGAAGAGAUGGGAAUUCGAUAGUGUCAAUCAAGCUUCAUCUUUAAUCACUUCUUGGUUCUCAGGGAAUUACUCAGAGUGUCAGCUCUUACAAGAUUAUUUAAAUAGCAUCUCUCCUAAAGGUGAUGUUUUUUAUGAUGCCCUAGAUGACUUAACACCUGAAUUAUGGGACACUGAGAGUGUAAAGAGCGACGGUGAUGAUUCUGGAGAUUGUGUUAGGGUGUCGUCAAGUUCCACAAGCUCAUCAUACACCCCACCACCUUGCUCUGGACCUUACAAGAGAAGAAGGAUAACAAGAUCUGAUGCUGGAAGUGAUAUGUCUGAGGAACCAUACUCAGAAUUUGUGACCUCACCAAGAUAUUCAUCAUAUUCAUCUUCAUCAUGUUACAGUGAUAAUGACAGUGGCAAGCCACUGGUGGAGCCUAACACAUACAAGGAUGUGCUGAUCUUGUUCCGAUUCAAUGAUCAUGAUCUGCCGUUCAGACUAAAGGAAGUUAUACUGUCUGAUGUGAGGCUCUUAACAUUACUUGAGUAUGGUCUUCCUUCAUGGGUCAUUUUUCUUCAGUCAUAUCCAGUGUUCUGCAAGAUAUAUCGCCCAUGGAUGUGUCCUCUAGUCAGAGCACUAUACGUCUUGAUGUCAUUGAUUACUGUUCUUAUAGGAUUUUAUGACCUCUACAAGAAUGUACCAAUGUUGAAGGCAACUGCCUCUAGAUUAUUUGGCCCUUUGUUUGAUUGGAUAGAGACAUGGGAAAUGAUCUCAAGGCUUAAGUAUCUCGGAACCAUGCUUUUUCUGAACAAUUUCCAACAGGCUUUUACAUGGUCUCUUAAGAUUGUACGUGCUACUAAGUCUGUUCUUAGUGUAUUGACAAAGCCAAUUAUGGGGCCACUGUUGGAGGUUCUUGAAUUUACCCUGCCACUAUGGAACCUUUGUGCUGAAACAGUUGAAUAUCUCAGUUCAGCUGCAAUGGUAGCGAUGGAAACAUCAUUCAGUGCGGUUAUCAGUACAGUGCAGAUGAUCAUGUGGCCAUUUUGGUUUAUCUUCAGUACGAUGUUUAAUAUAGCCAAUUCAAUCUUGUACCCUGUAAUUUGGUUCGUCGGAGAGAUACUAGCUGCACCUUUCCGACUUGUCGUUGCGCUAGCAAGUUUUGUAGCAGACUUCUUUGAUGAUAUUGUUGAUGUUUUAAGGCAGACCUGGUCAACAUUAAGUUCGUUAUAUCAAGUUGGUUCUGCAUCCAGAGCACCUGCGCUUACAUCUGAAACUUCCAUUUGGGGAUCACUCUGGAAAGAUCUUCUGUACCAGAUUUUCCGUGCAGUCCGGAGCAUUUUGUACGGUUUUGUUGCCUUCUUUUCAACAUGCAAUAGGCAUCGGCUCAGCAUAUACAACCACAUAGAAGUUCUUCUCCGGCGCCUGUCCCGCGCCUUAAAUGGCACGCGACAUACCUCCUCUUGUGAAGGAGCUCAGAAGUAUACUAGUCAAGAUCAUCCUCAAAGGAAAACCAAGACGAGAUGAUUGUGGAGUUACCGGAUUGACAUACCAAGUAAUUAGCUAAUUCAGAGAAACUUUAAAAGGUUGAGACGAGAUAACAGUGGACCUCCACAAGGAAUCAUGUGUACAGGUCUCAUACAGCUUCUAAUGUUUCAUCAAUGAACCCUAAUCGUAAUCGGUGUAUCCCCUCUGUACAGAUAGAGGCAGAGGGCAACAACCAGCGAAGCAAAAGCGGUACAACUGUAAAUGUACAUUAGUCGGAAUCUGUUGUUUGUUUGUCCAUUGUAGUGUAAUGUCAUGUAAUAUAUAUUAGUAGGUUGUACAGUAGAGUAGGUUUGUGCAUAUGCUUCGGCUACUGAACAAGAAUUUUGUAAGUAUAUGAGAGAGUUCGUUACCUUUUUUCAGUGUUAGUGUUAUUAAAAGUUUUCC
RNAcentral lists this ribosomal RNA (2630 nucleotides) under Triticum aestivum (bread wheat). RNAcentral describes it as "partial small subunit ribosomal RNA". The record is from RNAcentral. Lineage: Eukaryota; Viridiplantae; Streptophyta; Magnoliopsida; Poales; Poaceae.